AGCGAAACGGGAAGAGCCCAAACCAACAAGCUUGCUUGUUGGGGUUGUAGGACACUCUAUACGGAGUUACAAAGGACGACAUUAGACGAAUCAUCUGGAAAGAUGAAUCAAAGAAGGUAAUAAUCCUGUAGUCGAAAAUGUUGUCUCUCUUGAGUGGAUCCUGAGUACGACGGAGCACGUGAAAUUCCGUCGGAAUCUGGGAGGACCAUCUCCUAAGGCUAAAUACUCUCUAGUGACCGAUAGUGAACCAGUACCGUGAGGGAAAGGUGAAAAGCACCCCGGAAGGGGAGUGAAAUAGAACCUGAAACCGUGUGCUUACAAGUAGUCAGAGCCCGUUAAUGGGUGAUGGCGUGCCUUUUGUAGAAUGAACCGGCGAGUUACGAUUUGAUGCAAGGUUAAGCAGUAAAUGUGGAGCCGUAGCGAAAGCGAGUCUGAAUAGGGCGUUUAGUAUUUGGUCGUAGACCCGAAACCAGGUGAUCUACCCUUGGUCAGGUUGAAGUUCAGGUAACACUGAAUGGAGGACCGAACCGACUUACGUUGAAAAGUGAGCGGAUGAACUGAGGGUAGCGGAGAAAUUCCAAUCGAACCUGGAGAUAGCUGGUUCUCUCCGAAAUAGCUUUAGGGCUAGCCUCAAGUGAUGAUUAUUGGAGGUAGAGCACUGUUUGGACGAGGGGCCCCUCUCGGGUUACCGAAUUCAGACAAACUCCGAAUGCCAAUUAAUUUAACUUGGGAGUCAGAACAUGGGUGAUAAGGUCCGUGUUCGAAAGGGAAACAGCCCAGACCACCAGCUAAGGUCCCAAAAUAUAUGUUAAGUGGAAAAGGAUGUGGCGUUGCCCAGACAACUAGGAUGUUGGCUUAGAAGCAGCCAUCAUUUAAAGAGUGCGUAAUAGCUCACUAGUCGAGUGACACUGCGCCGAAAAUGUACCGGGGCUAAACAUAUUACCGAAGCUGUGGAUUGUCCUUUGGACAAUGGUAGGAGAGCGUUCUAAGGGCGUUGAAGCAUGAUCGUAAGGACAUGUGGAGCGCUUAGAAGUGAGAAUGCCGGUGUGAGUAGCGAAAGACGGGUGAGAAUCCCGUCCACCGAUUGACUAAGGUUUCCAGAGGAAGGCUCGUCCGCUCUGGGUUAGUCGGGUCCUAAGCUGAGGCCGACAGGCGUAGGCGAUGGAUAACAGGUUGAUAUUCCUGUACCACCUAUAAUCGUUUUAAUCGAUGGGGGGACGCAGUAGGAUAGGCGAAGCGUACGAUUGGAUUGCACGUCUAAGCAGUAAGGCUGAGUAUUAGGCAAAUCCGGUACUCGUUAAGGCUGAGCUGUGAUGGGGAGAAGACAUUGUGUCUUCGAGUCGUUGAUUUCACACUGCCGAGAAAAGCCUCUAGAUAGAAAAUAGGUGCCCGUACCGCAAACCGACACAGGUAGUCAAGAUGAGAAUUCUAAGGUGAGCGAGCGAACUCUCGUUAAGGAACUCGGCAAAAUGACCCCGUAACUUUGGGAGAAGGGGUGCUCUUUAGGGUUAACGCCCAGAAGAGCCGCAGUGAAUAGGCCCAAGCGACUGUUUAUCAAAAACACAGGUCUCUGCUAAACCGUAAGGUGAUGUAUAGGGGCUGACGCCUGCCCGGUGCUGGAAGGUUAAGAGGAGUGGUUAGCUUCUGCGAAGCUACGAAUCGAAGCCCCAGUAAACGGCGGCCGUAACUAUAACGGUCCUAAGGUAGCGAAAUUCCUUGUCGGGUAAGUUCCGACCCGCACGAAAGGCGUAACGAUUUGGGCACUGUCUCAACGAGAGACUCGGUGAAAUCAUAGUACCUGUGAAGAUGCAGGUUACCCGCGACAGGACGGAAAGACCCCGUGGAGCUUUACUGUAGCCUGAUAUUGAAAUUCGGCACAGCUUGUACAGGAUAGGUAGGAGCCUUUGAAACGUGAGCGCUAGCUUACGUGGAGGCGCUGGUGGGAUACUACCCUAGCUGUGUU
Molecule: ribosomal RNA, 1963 nt
Filed under: Staphylococcus aureus
Lineage: Bacteria; Bacillati; Bacillota; Bacilli; Caryophanales; Staphylococcaceae
Description: partial 23S ribosomal RNA
Rfam family: Bacterial large subunit ribosomal RNA
Source: RNAcentral